RNAcentral lists this ribosomal RNA (565 nucleotides) under Lacticaseibacillus rhamnosus. RNAcentral's name for it is "bacterial LSU rRNA". It matches the Rfam family "Bacterial large subunit ribosomal RNA", at positions 2363 to 2925 of the family's 2925-position model. Lineage: Bacteria; Bacillati; Bacillota; Bacilli; Lactobacillales; Lactobacillaceae. The record is from RNAcentral.
GGGGGCUUGACUGCGAGACUGACAAGUCGAGCAGGGACGAAAGUCGGGCUUAGUGAUCCGGUGGUUCCGUAUGGAAGGGCCAUCGCUCAACGGAUAAAAGCUACCCUGGGGAUAACAGGCUUAUCUCCCCCAAGAGUCCACAUCGACGGGGAGGUUUGGCACCUCGAUGUCGGCUCAUCGCAUCCUGGGGCUGUAGUCGGUCCCAAGGGUUGGGCUGUUCGCCCAUUAAAGCGGUACGCGAGCUGGGUUCAGAACGUCGUGAGACAGUUCGGUCCCUAUCCGUCGCGGGCGCAGGAAAUUUGAGAGGAGCUGUCCUUAGUACGAGAGGACCGGGAUGGACGUUCCGCUGGUGUACCAGUUGUGCCGCCAGGCGCAUCGCUGGGUAGCUAUGAACGGAAGGGAUAAACGCUGAAAGCAUCUAAGUGUGAAGCCCCCCUCGAGAUGAGAUUUCCCAUUCCUAUAUGGAAGUAAGACCCCUGAAAGAUGAUCAGGUAGAUAGGCUGGAAGUGGAAGUGCAGCGAUGCAUGGAGCGGACCAGUACUAAUCGGUCGAGGACUUAACCAAG